RNAcentral lists this long non-coding RNA (229 nucleotides) under Sorghum bicolor (sorghum). RNAcentral describes it as "long non-coding RNA (SBIC_LNC007700)". The record is from RNAcentral. Lineage: Eukaryota; Viridiplantae; Streptophyta; Magnoliopsida; Poales; Poaceae.
UGCUCUCUGGUGCCCACCACCGAUAAAUCUGGUGGUAGCAAAACAUCUAUGCAUUAGUGAACAAAAGCCUCCAGUCAUACGCUUCAGUUAAUCAUGAACAACACAAGUGGGUGAAUUUGUCUGCCUCCAUUAAUCAAUAAAAAAAUAAAAAAUCUAGCAAGCCCAUCGACGAGCCCGUUGAAGCCCAUCAGGGCCGUGUGCCAUCGGUGUCCGCCGGAUUCUUGCCUAC